This 1100-nucleotide long non-coding RNA is filed under the name Cricetulus griseus (Chinese hamster). RNAcentral's name for it is "lncRNA (ENSCGRG00015038858.1)". The record is from RNAcentral. Lineage: Eukaryota; Metazoa; Chordata; Mammalia; Rodentia; Cricetidae.
GUUGCAUCAGGUGAAAUGAUGGUAAUGGUCAAGUCCACUCCUAACUCGGCAUGGAUUGGAGUUAGCUUUGGCCAGCCCUUCAUAUCAGUGGAGUUGUAGAGCUGGGCUCCAAUGUCUAGGUAAAUCCUCACCCAGCCCUCCCUCCCUCGUGUGGUAGCUGUGACCUAGUGUGAUGAUUGAUACCAGUUGUCAACUUGAUAAGAUGCAGAAUCAGCUCAGAGAUAGCCCUGGACUUGCGUGUGAGGGGAUUUCUAGGUUUGAUCAUUGAGCUGGGACGACCCACCCUAAAUGUGAGUUGUACCAUUCCAUGAGUUGAAAUCCUGAGCUGAGUCAAAGGAAAGGAAGCUGAGUACCAGUACUGAAUGUGACUAGCUGCCUCUCACUCUGGCUGCUGUGAUGGAAGGCACAGCAAUCGUGGGCUCAGUGGAUCCAAUUGCACACCCGUAGCUCCAACAUGCCUCCAACACUUCCCAGCGAAGGAGCUUGAGAAGAACUACUGAGGUCGAAUCAUCUGGAGAGAAGAAUGUUUGAGAAGCUAAUGAAACAAGUGUUUAAGAAUGAUGGAGCAUCUCUGUGCAUUUCUCUCUCUCUCUCUCUCUCUCUCUCUCUCUCUCUCUCUCUCUCUCUCUCUCUCUCUCUCUCUCUCUCUCUCUUCGUGUUGAUAAGAAGACUUCUAAUUGGAUUUGAGGCCAACUCCAGAGGAGGAACCACAUGCCUGAAACUGGAAACCUGGCUAAGAGCCCAUGGUUGAGAGCUCACAGGCCCCAGGGAAUAUUAUCUAAAAUCAUCUGGUUACAAUGAGGCAGAAAAGAGGAAUAGACGUUUGAAAAGAGCAAGCUGAGGAUUGCCACAUUGUCCUGCAGGUAUAAAACAUUAAGGAACUACUUAAGAAGAGGUCAUGAAGGUGAAUUCCUGGAUAUUAUAAACAGACUUUUGAGAGCUGGGCGUGCUGGUACAUAUCUAAAAUCUUAACAUCUAGGAAGUAGAGGCAGGAGGAACAGGAGUUCAAGGCCAACCUCAACUACACAGGGAAUUCAAAGCCAGCAUGAGGCCUUGAAUUUGUGUCAAAAACCAAAACAAAACCAACAUUAAUAAAUAAA